UAGGGAAUCUUCGGCAAUGGGGGGAACCCUGACCGAGCAACGCCGCGUGAGUGAAGAAGGUUUUCGGAUCGUAAAGCUCUGUUGUUAAGGAAGAACGAGUGUGAGAAUGGAAAGUUCAUGCUGUGACGGUACUUAACCAGAAAGGGACGGCUAACUACGUGCCAGCAGCCGCGGUAAUACGUAGGUCCCGAGCGUUGUCCGGAUUUAUUGGGCGUAAAGCGAGCGCAGGCGGUUAGAAAAGUCUGAAGUGAAAGGCAGUGGCUCAACCAUUGUAGGCUUUGGAAACUGUUUAAAUUGAGUGCAGAAGGGGAGAGUGGAAUUCCAUGUGUAGCGGUGAAAUGCGUAGAUAUAUGGAGGAACACCGGUGGCGAAAGCGGCUCUCUGGUCUGUAACUGACGCGGAGGCUCGAAAGCGUGGGGAGCGAACAGG
This 429-nucleotide ribosomal RNA is filed under the name Bacteroidota bacterium. RNAcentral's name for it is "Bacteroidetes bacterium partial 16S ribosomal RNA". It matches the Rfam family "Bacterial small subunit ribosomal RNA", at positions 355 to 776 of the family's 1533-position model. The record is from RNAcentral. Lineage: Bacteria; Pseudomonadati; Bacteroidota.